Molecule: ribosomal RNA, 437 nt
Filed under: uncultured bacterium
Lineage: Bacteria
Description: bacterial SSU rRNA
Rfam family: Bacterial small subunit ribosomal RNA
Source: RNAcentral
CCUACGGGGGGCAGCAGUAGGGAAUUUUCGGCAAUGGGGGAAACCCUGACCGAGCAACGCCGCGUGAGGGAGGAAGUACUUCGGUAUGUAAACCUCUGUUAUAAAGGAAGAAUAGCAUAUGUAGGGAAUGACAUAUGAAUGACGGUACUUUAUGAGGAAGCCACGGCUAACUACGUGCCAGCAGCCGCGGUAAUACGUAGGUGGCGAGCGUUAUCCGGAAUCAUUGGGCGUAAAGAGGGAGCAGGCGGCAGUCAGGGUCUGCGGUGAAAGCCCGAAGCUAAACUUCGGUAAGCCGUGGAAACCGGACAGCUAGAGAGCAUCAGAGGAUCGUGGAAUUCCAUGUGUAGCGGUGAAAUGCGUAGAUAUAUGGAGGAACACCAGUGGCGAAGGCGACGGUCUGGGGUGCAGCUGACGCUCAGUCCCGAAAGCGUGGGGAG